This is a non-coding RNA of Saccoglossus kowalevskii, 3442 nucleotides long. The record is from RefSeq and is a predicted model, not a curated record. Lineage: Eukaryota; Metazoa; Hemichordata; Enteropneusta; Harrimaniidae.
GUGGCCAUACAGAGUACCUUGAAUCCAACGUUGUUCAUUGGACGAUAAACAAGUCAGUAUUUGAGCUGGCUUGCCUCUCUCUCUUCAAAUUAUGUAUUCUCUUCUUCGUCUUUGUGAAGUUGGAAGACAUUGCUAUGAAACAGGUUGAGGAUCCUUACAACCAAACAUUGAAAAGAAACAAAGCUAUUUUACAUAUUAUAACUCUUCUUGUGAGUUUUCUCAGCCUUGCCUACACAACAACAAAAGGAGUUUUUGUACUUGUGAAUAUGAGUUAUCGCGAUAUGCACGUGACCUACAGUGCUUGCUGCAUUGCGGCAUUCACUUUCUCCAUCAUUGAGUUCCUCCUUUGUAUUCUUUAUCCUGUGUUUCUACGCAAGUUGAAAGUCAUCGAAUCAAGCGUAGUUACAAUGAUGAGGGUGUAGAAGUGGAUGAAGAUGGUAAAGCAAAAACCGAAAAAAAUUGAUAUCAAAAGAUUAAUGUCACUUUGCAAACCGGAUGCAUUAUUGCUGUUUUUUGCUACGAUAGCUCUUGUAAUCUCAAGUCUCGCUAACAUGGCUGCACCAUUAUUCUUUGGCAGAGUUAUUGACGUGGCCUUGAAUCCAAACCACACAAUGGCGCAAGUGAACGAACAGGUGUUAAUUCUGUUCCUGAUAUUCGUUGCUGGGGCUAUUGGUGCUACAUUUAGAGCUUGGCUGUUCACUCUUGUCGGAAUCCGCGUUGUUUGCAGAAUCAGACGCCAGUUGUUCAGUGCAAUUAUGCAACAGGAAAUUGCCUUUUUUGAUACAACCAGGACUGGUGACUUGACCAAUAGGCUGUCUUCUGAUACUGGUGUUGUGCAGAAUGCUGUGACUGUGAAUAUAUCUAUGUUAUUGAGGUACUUAUUUCAAAUCUUUGGUUCCUUGAUAAUUAUGUUUAAACUGAGUCCUUCACUGACUGGUGUAUUAUUUGCUGCUGUACCAGUGGUAGCGAUAGGAGCUACCCAGUAUGGUAAAUUUGUGAUGGGCAUUCAAAAGAAAUUUCAGGAUGAAUUGGCUGCUGCUGGAACCACUGCAGAAGAAUGUAUCUCUAGUGUACGUACAGUGCGGUCUUUUACAGGCGAGUCCAAAGCAUGUGCUACAUAUGGAAAGGAUAUCAACAAAAGCUAUGUCCAAGGGAGGAAAUUGGCUGCAUCUUCUGGUGCAUUUCAAGGACUAGUGGGCAUAGUGGCACAAGGCGCUGUCACAUUGGUAUUGUGGUAUGGUGCCAAGUUGUUAUUUCAGGGGAACAUCACAGUUGGUACUUUGACAUCUUUUAUGCUUUACACAAUGAACGUUGCCAUGGCAUUUGCUUUCCUCUCCUCACUUUAUGGCGACUUUAUGAAAGCUGUCGGUGCAUCAAUCAGUAUCUUCAAUUUAAUGGAUAGAGUACCUGAAGUGACGAAUGAAGGCGGUGAAAAGAUACAACCCUUUCCUUGUCAAGUGGAUUUUAAAAAUGUUAGUUUCACCUAUCCAUCAAGACCGGAUACGAAAGUGCUCAAGGAUAUCACUUUCUCGAUGAAACCAGGUAGCGUUGUGGCUUUGGUUGGACCCUCUGGUGGUGGCAAAUCUACCAUAGUCAAUUUGAUUGAAAGAUUUUAUGUACCUGAUACAGGAAACAUUAUGUUAGGUGGUGUUAAUAUGGCUGGCUUAGAUCCCCAAUGGUUCAGAAAAAAUAUAUCCAUGGUUAGCCAGGAACCAGUGCUGUUUGCAUGUUCCAUUAAAGAUAACAUUACAUAUGGAACUGAUGCUACUGAUGAAGAGAUAGAGGACGCUGCUAGACAGUCCAAUGCACAUGAAUUCAUAACAACAUUUGAAGAAGGAUAUGAUACUCUGGUUGGUGAGAGAGGUGUUCGGUUGUCAGGGGGACAGAAGCAGAGGGUUGCCAUAGCGAGAGCACUGAUUAUGAACCCAAGUAUUCUACUAUUGGACGAGGCAACCAGUGCAUUGGAUGCUGAGAGUGAACAUUUGGUAAAGGAGGCAAUUGAUAGAGCCAUGGAAGGCAGAACAGUGUUGGUGAUAGCACAUAGGUUAUCUACAGUUAGGAAUGCAUCAGAGGUUAUAGUAAUCAACAAAGGUGAGGUUGCAGAAAGAGGAACACAUGAAGAGUUGAUAAACAAAGGGGGAGUCUAUAAAAAACUGGUUUUACGACAGCUAAGUGCGGGUACCUUGACAACCAAAGCUGAUAUUAACAUCAAUGCUGCUGAUGAUGAUAUUGAUACUAUUGAUGAAGAUUUUGAACUGGAUGAUGAUUCUCAAGAAAUGAAAUCAUAGAAAAUAUCCAAAACUUAACACCUGUCAGUCAUCUAUCGACAUUACUGAUUGUCUAUUGCCGUUUUUACCUUGCCGUAUAGGUGAAGGACAAGGCAUAUGAGUGGAAAAUUUCUGUUGUAAAACUUUUUACUUGUGGUUACGCUAACUCAAAUAGUUUUUUUAUUCAAUAUAUUUCAAGUUUGGAAAAUAAUAUUACCAAAUUUUGAAUUUAAUUAAGUUAAUUUGUUUUUGUUAUAUGUAUAUGACAGUGUACUUUCCCCACCAAAUCAGGCUAAUAUUUUAUUUUGCUUAUAUAUAUUAAUGUACUAUUAUUUGGAAACUUUUAUAAAAUUCAUGUUAUAUUAUUCUAUAAGGGACAUUGAGAUUAAUUCAGUACAUGUAGUAUUUAUUGAGGAACAAGUUGGCUAGUAUUUUCCUUGCCACAUGUUGUUUAGAUAUGUUGCUGUACUAUUAUUUUUUUAAGAAUCAUGAACUAUUCUGUUAGGGACAUUGAGGUUAAUUAAUUAAUUAAUUAAUUAAUUAAUUAAUUAAUUAAUUUUGUGUAAUGUGUAAUUUUGAUGAUUGUUUUUGUCUGUUUUAGAGCAGAAUUGUUCCCAACUAAAUAUCAGCCAAUAUAUUAUUGCAUCAUUUCAAAACUGUUGUACUUGCUUUUAACAUGCAAUAAAAAUAUUGUGCAUUGUUCUGUAUCCAUCCAUGCAUUUCUUACCUAAUCCAGGUUCUCAAUGGGCAAGGUUGUAAUAGUUAUGCUAUGUUUUUAUUAUAAUAAUACUUCGAAUAUCAAUUUUGUUUAUUGCCCCAUUUGAUAACAUUUUCAUUCGAUAUUGUCUUUUAUUGUUGGUACACAUAUAAGUUAAAAGUACAGGCUCAGAAAGUACAGGUAAAGGGUCUAGUGUUCUAUCAAAACCUUUUCAUAUUGUGUUAAAUCUUUGGAAGUCAGCAGAAUCAUUUUGUUUUUAUCUUGUGUGCACUUGUAAAAUAGCAAAUACUAAUUAAAAUAAUUACUUGUUGCAUCUGAUAAUUUAGUUCUAUUUAUGUAAAUUAUUCAUUCAGUUCUGUUCAAACCAUUGUUUCUUGUAAAUUUGAAAUAUUUGUUUGCCUCAAUUGUAAUUAUUGCGAGGGGGAAUGUAAAAGAAAUAAUAGGUUGGUUUUAUUGA